RNAcentral lists this transfer RNA (87 nucleotides) under Bacteroidota bacterium. RNAcentral describes it as "tRNA-Ser". It matches the Rfam family "tRNA". Rfam says of the family: Transfer RNA (tRNA) molecules are approximately 80 nucleotides in length. Their secondary structure includes four short double-helical elements and three loops (D, anti-codon, and T loops). Lineage: Bacteria; Pseudomonadati; Bacteroidota. The record is from RNAcentral.
GGAAGGGUGCAAGAGCGGUUUAAUUGGCACGCCUGGAAAGCGUGUGUGCGGGAAACCGUACCGAGAGUUCGAAUCUCUCCCCUUCCG